GUGGGGAAUUUUGCACAAUGGGCGAAAGCCUGAUGCAGCAAUGCCGCGUGAGUGAUGAAGGCCUUCGGGUUGUAAAUCUCUGUCGGUUGGGACAAAAGGUUUCUCAUUUAAUAAAUGAGAGAAGUGAUGGUACCAGCAAAGGAAGAGGCGGCUAACUCUGUGCCAGCAGCCGCGGUAAUACAGAGGCCUCAAGCGUUGUUCGGAAUUACUGGGCGUAAAGGGAAUGUAGGCGGUUAUGUAAGUCAGAUGUGAAAGCCCUGGGCUUAACCCGGGAACUGCAUUUGAUACUGCAUAGCUAGAGUGCGAGAGAGGAAAGUGGAAUUCCAGGUGUAGGGGUGAAAUCCGUAGAUAUCUGGAGGAAUACCAAUGGCGAAGGCAGCUUUCUGGCUCGUAACUGACGCUGAGAUUCGAAAGCAUGGGUAGCAAACAGGAUUAGAUACCCCAGUAGUCC
RNAcentral lists this ribosomal RNA (451 nucleotides) under uncultured bacterium. RNAcentral's name for it is "bacterial SSU rRNA". It matches the Rfam family "Bacterial small subunit ribosomal RNA", at positions 354 to 796 of the family's 1533-position model. The record is from RNAcentral.